CAGUUCGGAUUGUAGUCUGCAACCCGACUACAUGAAGCUGGAAUCGCUAGUAAUCGCGGAUCAGAAUGCCGCGGUGAAUACGUUCCCGGGUCUUGUACACACCGCCCGUCACACCAUGGGAGUCGGAAAUGCCCGAAGUCAGUGACCCAACCGUAAGGAGGGAGCUGCCGAAGGUGGAGCCGGUAACUGGGGUGAAGUCGUAACAAGGUAGC
Molecule: ribosomal RNA, 212 nt
Filed under: uncultured bacterium
Lineage: Bacteria
Description: partial 16S ribosomal RNA
Rfam family: Bacterial small subunit ribosomal RNA
Source: RNAcentral